UCGUGCUAGAUGGGGAGGUAGCGGUGCCCUAUAACCCGCAAACCGCUAUAGCGGGAUUGAAGUCCUGUCCCAGGCCUGUACUUGUGGGGUCAUGGUUCAAAUAAGUGGCGAAGAUGAUCGGGUCCUGCGCAACGAAACUUCAUGAACCCUGUCAGAUCCGGAAGGAAGCAGCAGUAAGUGAACACUUUCGUGUGCCGUAGGGGUGCCUGGUAGGAGUUAACUGUUUGGUUACCGCCUAUAAGUAUUUUGUCAAAGAUAGGUGCACGA
RNAcentral lists this signal recognition particle RNA (267 nucleotides) under Clostridiales bacterium. Its description in RNAcentral is "signal recognition particle sRNA large type". It matches the Rfam family "Bacterial large signal recognition particle RNA". From Rfam's summary of the family: The signal recognition particle (SRP) is a universally conserved ribonucleoprotein involved in the co-translational targeting of proteins to membranes. Lineage: Bacteria; Bacillati; Bacillota; Clostridia; Eubacteriales. The record is from RNAcentral.